RNAcentral lists this microRNA precursor (168 nucleotides) under Pelobates cultripes (western spadefoot toad). Lineage: Eukaryota; Metazoa; Chordata; Amphibia; Anura; Pelobatidae. The record is from RNAcentral.
GCAGACACAUUCCAGCCAAUCAGCAGCAGACCCUCCCUCCCAGACCCUCCCACCUCCUGGACAGCAUCCAUUUUGCAUUCAUUGUGAAGCUGCAUUCUUAGUGAGCUGUCCAGGAGGUGGGAGGGUCUGGGAGGGAGGGUCUGCUGCUGAUUGGCUGGAAUGUGUCUG